UACGUAGGGGGCAAGCGUUGUCCGGAAUCAUUGGGCGUAAAGAGCGUGUAGGCGGCCCGGUAAGUCCGCUGUGAAAGUCCAGGGCUCAACCCUGGGAUGCCGGUGGAUACUGUCGGGCUCGAGUUCGGAAGAGGCGAGUGGAAUUCCCGGUGUAGCGGUGAAAUGCGCAGAUAUCGGGAGGAACACCUAUGGCGAAGGCAGCUCGCUGGGACGUUACUGACGCUGAGACGCGAAAGCGUGGGGAGCAAACAGG
RNAcentral lists this ribosomal RNA (253 nucleotides) under uncultured bacterium. Its description in RNAcentral is "partial 16S ribosomal RNA". It matches the Rfam family "Bacterial small subunit ribosomal RNA", at positions 524 to 776 of the family's 1533-position model. The record is from RNAcentral.